This is a non-coding RNA of Pelobates cultripes (western spadefoot toad), 204 nucleotides long. NCBI's taxonomy places the organism in Eukaryota, Metazoa, Chordata, Amphibia, Anura, Pelobatidae. The record is from the annotation of a GenBank genome assembly.
CACACUGUCUGCUAUUCAAUUGACGGUUUAGGAGUGUUUUGUGUAAGAUUGUUUUUACUGCUGCUGGCACUCUGUGAUACAUUGUAGCUCCAGGAUACAUUGUAUCUAUGAUUUUAAUUCUGUUAUAUGACCCUAUGGUGUAGCACAGUCCAGUAACACAGAGUAUAUACUGUACAUUGGAAAGUGUACAUUACAAUUGUUAAA